This 72-nucleotide transfer RNA is filed under the name Phrynocephalus vlangalii (Pylzow's toadhead agama). RNAcentral's name for it is "tRNA-Gln". It matches the Rfam family "tRNA". Rfam says of the family: Transfer RNA (tRNA) molecules are approximately 80 nucleotides in length. Their secondary structure includes four short double-helical elements and three loops (D, anti-codon, and T loops). Lineage: Eukaryota; Metazoa; Chordata; Lepidosauria; Squamata; Agamidae. RNAcentral also lists the same sequence under 2 other names. The record is from RNAcentral.
UAGAGAGUAGUAUAGAUGGUAGUACAAAAGAUUUUGGAUUUUUUUGUGGAGGUUCAAGUCCUCUUUCUCUAA